This is a long non-coding RNA of Astatotilapia calliptera (eastern happy), 4714 nucleotides long. The record is from Ensembl. NCBI's taxonomy places the organism in Eukaryota, Metazoa, Chordata, Actinopteri, Cichliformes, Cichlidae.
GGAUACCACCGCCUGUUGUUACAUAGAGUUUACUACUCAACAGCAUGAAGACAGCGAGCAGCAAAAAACCCCAUCAAACUCUGCGGAAUACCAAUAUUUCAUCAAGAAGCGUGCACAGUACCUAGCGUGCACCCAGUGCUCAGUUGACAGGCACGUCUGCUGGACUUCUUCAAAUAAAACACGUUGCACCUAAACGAAAGCAACAUCAAGAGAGACAGAGGGAUAAAGUAAACAAAGCAAGAGGAAAAAAGAGAACAAGAAUGCCAAGAGUGGUAAGCCCGAUGCAUUGUGUCAUCUUAGCUGACUCCUGGGUCUCACUCAAACAUCCUUCCAGCUUCCUGUUUGGUCAGCUGGGGAAUUGGGCUGGAGUCUAACAAGCUACAUCCAUACUUUAUUACUGAAUGGCUAUUUGCCAAAUCAGUUGUAUGUCGCUGUCUCUAAAUAAUAUCUGGUAACUGACUGCCCCCAUACCUCCUGGAGUCUGACAAACAACUUCUUCACAAAAUAGUGCAUGUGGUGAUCAGCUAUGGAUUGAGACAGAACUCAGCAGUAACAACCUCCAAAGAGCUUGGCUUGGUAUGAAAACAAUGGCAGGGCUACAAACGAAAGGUAAAAGUAAUAUUAGCUUAGAAGGGUUUACCUCUGACAAACAUCUGGCAGACAGUCUUAACAGUUUUUACCUGCGUUUUGAAGAUCUUGACUAUUCUAGGCAGACCAGCAAACUGAGGGAGAAGACCAUCACUCCCCCAUCAUUUUGUAUUGAUGAGAGGGGGCUAAUCUCUUUAGACACACUAAGAGUAAGAGUCCUGGACCUGACAACAUCUGUGGACAGGUACUGAGAACUUGUGCUGAUCAGCUGAGUGGGAUUUUCACCAUAUUUUCUCACUUUCUUUAGAGCUACAGACGGUACCUAAGAUUUGGAAACAUGCUGUCAUUGUUCCAGUUGCUAAUGAUUUUAGGCCUGUGGCUCUGACUUCUUUAGUGAUGAAGUCAUUUGAGAAGAUAAUUAAGAAGGAGAUUUUAAUGCAUGUUGAACACCAUCUUGACCCCUUCCAGUUUGCCUAUAGAGCAGGGAGAGGUGUGGAGGAUGCUGCUGUCACACUCCUGCAUCUCUUGUAUAAGCAUCUUGAGGCCCCCCACACCCACGCAAGAUUAUUAUUUGCUGACUUUUCAUCGGCAUUCAAUACAAUUCAACCCCUCUUAUUUGCUGACAGGCUCUACAAUCAUUUCAAGCUUGACACUAGUCUGGUCCGCUGGGUGACAGACUUUCUGACUAAUAGGUCACAAUGUGUGAGGGUGAAUCAUGUGUUUUCUGAUGUGCUCUCCUCCUCUACUGCAUCACCCCAGGGUUGCUGCCUCUCUCCCCUUCUGUUCUUUCUGUACACAAAUGAGUGUUGCAGCAAUUUCACGAACAGACACAUCCUGAAGUUUGGUGAUGACACAGUGAUCGUCAGUCUUCUUGUGGGGGCGAGUCAGGCCAUGGACAGGUUGUAGAUGAUUUUGUGGAUUGGUGUGAUGAGUCCUUCCUGUCACUAAAUGUGUCAAAAACUAAAGACAUGAUUAUUGAUUUUAGGAAGUCCUCUUAUAGCUCAUCACCCACUAUCAUUAACCUUAACCCAAUUUCCCUCAGGAUGAAUAAAGUAUUAUCAAUCAAUCAUUAAAACUGCUGAUAUUGGGAUCGUUGAGAGUUAUAAAUAUCUAGGUGUGCUUGACCAUAAAGAAUCUCAUGCUGGCCACUACUAAAAAAGUUCAACAAAGACUGUUCUUUUUAAGGAAAAUGAGAUCUUUUAAUGUCUCAUCCGAGAUGUUGUCUUUGUUUUAUAGAUGUUUUAUCGAAUCUGUGAUGUCUUUUUGUAUCGCUGCCUGGUUUGGUAACCUGACGGUGAAGAAUAAGAAUCGAUUCGGUCUUCUGGUAAAAACUGCUAGCAAAAUUUCAGGGCGCUGGCAAGAUGGACUUUUGGCUAUUUACAAUAAAAAUGUGCUUAUAAAGGUUCAUUCUAUUGUUAAUUGUUUGAACCAUCCACUUCACAGUGAGUUUGAGCUGUUGCCUUUAGUUGCCGUCGUUUUAGAGUACCUGUGAGGAAGACCAAAAGACUCCAGGUAUCUUUUAUCCCUACUGCAUCCUGUCUCCUAAAUAGCAUAUAACCGUCUGGGGAUUUUCUAUUACUAUUAUUGUCGUUUUAUAUUAUUGUUUUGUUUACUUUUUUGUUUACCUUUAUCCGGCUGCUAAACUAAUUUCCCUUUUGGGAAAAUAAAGAAUUUGACAUGAACAGCAGAUUGAAGAUUGGUGUAGUGACCUGUCCUGUAUUUGCAUACAACAAAGGUGUCUCACCACCUAUCCCAAGACCCUCUUCUGGAGCUCUCUCUCCCGUUGUUUGAUGCAUGCUCAAUCAUCCAGGUAAGUAAAUCCCAAAAGGUUGACUAUGUUCAUCUGGAUGUAACAUUUUGACCUCCCAGCCCAUUGUUCAUUCACUGGUGCUGGUUUCAGUCAUCGUGCAAAUGUACUGUUUAUAAGAUUUGGGAAACCUGCAGUCAGCUGAGACUGAAGAAGUCACCUGGAUGAGUGACGAAACGUUUCUCCCACUGAAAACGCUACGUCCAGAUGAACAGAAUCAAGCAGCUUGAGUUAUGUAUCUAUUCCUCUAUUAAACUAGCCUUUUCCAUCAUAAAGUUUGUUGCCAAGAGUAUUGUCACUGAUUGUUUUAUUGGCAAAUGUGCAUGACUGUCAUUCAUAAUUCAUGUCCACAUGAAAACACAUUUUCUGCCCUAAAUCAGAAACAUUUGGUUCUAGUAGAAUUCAACCUUAUGUGCUGUGGUCAAGCACAUUUAAAAUAAAGUAUUAAAAAUUAACAUAUUAACUCAAAUACAGUUGGAAUGUCAAUUUUUCCUCUGUUUUCAAAGUGGCAUUGGUACCCGUGUAUAAAAAAAACAAAAGCUUAACAAUUUAAAAGGUGUAAAAAUAGGAUACGAAUACCACAGAAACAAUAACUGAAGCAAAAGAAUUAAUGCGCAAAAAUACAAUGCCUCCCAUCUUUUACUCUUAAACAAGGACAGUUUAUAAUAAGCAGCUGAUAUGCUACUACUGUUCUCUAAUGUUAAGGCACUUUGAGUGCUAUAAAUUUCCUCUGUUCAGUAAAGAUAGAAAGUUUCUGUGUAUUUACAACAACAUUGGUACUACUGUGGCUUGUACAACAUUACUCCUAUAAGAUGGAGUUGUGGUCAAGCUUCUUUAGAAAAAGCACACGUCUUUAUUGAAUGUUACUUUGACAUGUACAGCUCACCUAACCACUGUUGUAGGCCAGGCACAGGCCCUCAAUCAAGGGAAUUCCCCAAUAGCAGCAGCCUUUACACUAUAAUGUGGCACAUAAGCAACAAUUGUGCUGCAGUAGCUCAAGGACCAUAACAAAGAGCCCAGAAUUCACCCAGGCACUAAAUAUCCAAAAUCCUAAUCCUGUCAAGAAAAUAUAGAAACAAGUAUAAUUGUAUGUAGUUGCAAUAUUGCAGCUAAUAGCUAAGAGUUGAGUUAAAACAUUUCUUUGUGUGUGUAGUUGUGCUUUACUUGCCCCCCUGACUGUGUUCAAAUGAUCCCCCAGAACAAAUAGGAGGAUCAUGAUUUCAUUCUGAGUGUGGCUGCUUUACUAAAUUCACUCUUGCCAAACCUGAAAGUACAAAACAAAAAUACUACAACACAGUGCAUCAUCCCCAGCAUGUGAAUGAGCCUGCCUUAAUGACAGAAAGCUUUGAGUAGGCGUGUUCUCAGCCACGAAACAUAUGUCUUUAUUUACAGUGAUCACGAGCAUCAUUAGCCAUAGCCAUUAGUCAGCAACCAAGAUCCCUGCAGGGAAGGGCAGGGAUCUUGGUUGUGGUUGAGGUUUGUGAUUGGUUUGACGAUGACUUCCUGUUGUGUGAAAUUGCAUGUGUGUGUUUGUGUCUCUGUGUUGGCAGGGGAAACGGAUAGGAACACAGCCGGACCAGCUGGCUGCAAAUCUCUGCAAUCUGCUGCUUAGUUAAGCUGGCACACACACACACACACACACACACACACACACACACACACACACACACACACACACACACACACACACACACACACACACACACACACACACAGACAAAUGCAUGCAUUGGAUAAAUACUUAAUUAUAUUCACUUAUGUACUAAACAACAGUUAAAAAUAACAUUUAAUAAAAAGGCCAGUCCAUAAAUGACCACAGAUGAGUGACUAACAGCAGAAAUGAAGUGAUUUGUGUAAUUUGGCAUUGACAGCCACUGUACACACUAGCUCUUGAUCCACUAGUGAAACCAGUCUCUGCAGAAAAGCAAAGUCAUUUGCUGGUUAUUAAAAUAAUUUAUUACAACUCUCAAUAUUCUCUUAAUUAAAAUUCACUUAUCGCAGUUGGGGACUUGAGAGCUGGACUAUUAAGGAGAGCUCCACUGAAUGCAUGUAAAGGAAUAUGUGCAUAUGUAAAUAUCCAAGCAUUUGUGUGUGUGUGUAUGAGUGAGUGUGUAUACAGCCGCCCAUGUGCCCAAACAUGGCUUUUAAUCACCAGUUUUCUUGAUUAAGCAAUACUGUGGGGUAAUUUGUUUAAAAAAAUAUUAUAUCCGCCACGAGGCAGCCGAAGCGUCUGGACUUCUUUAAGUUGCUUGAAGACGUUUCACCUCUCAUCCGAGAAGCUUCUUCAGUUCUAAGGUCAAAUGGUGGAGAGUCCCAGAU